AGAAUCAACGCUGGCGGCGUGCCUAACACAUGCAAGUCGAACGCGACUUGGGGCUUCGGUUCCAAGUUGAGUGGCGAACGGGUGAGUAACACGUGGGUGAUCUACCUUCGAGCGGGGGAUAACGUUCCGAAAGGAACGCUAAUACCGCAUGAUGUCCUGGGUUUAAAGACCUGGAGACCAAAGCUAGGGACCGCAAGGCCUGGCACUUGAAAGAGGAGCCCGCGUCCGAUUAGCUAGUUGGCGGGGUAACGCCCACCAAGGCGACGAUC
This 269-nucleotide ribosomal RNA is filed under the name uncultured soil bacterium. RNAcentral describes it as "partial 16S ribosomal RNA". It matches the Rfam family "Bacterial small subunit ribosomal RNA", at positions 26 to 281 of the family's 1533-position model. The record is from RNAcentral.